Non-coding RNA from Ixodes scapularis (black-legged tick), 82 nucleotides. Lineage: Eukaryota; Metazoa; Arthropoda; Arachnida; Ixodida; Ixodidae. The record is from Rfam.
ACAGUCGUGGUUGAGUGGUUAAGGCGAUAGACUAGAAAUCCGUUGGGGUCUCCCCGCACAGGUUCGAAUCCUGUCGACUGUG